GACGAACGCUGGCGGCGUGCUUAACACAUGCAAGUCGAGCGGAAAGGCCCUUCGGGGUACUCGAGCGGCGAACGGGUGAGUAACACGUGGGUGACCUGCCUUCGAGUGGGGGAGUAACGUCCCGAAAGGGACGCUAAUACCGCAUAACAUCCUGCCUUUUAAGAGGUGGACAUCAAAGCUGGGGAUCGCAAGACCUAGCGCUUGAAGAGGGGCCCGCGCCUGAUUAGCUAGUUGGUGGGGUAANGGCUCACCAAGGCAACGAUCAGUAUCCGGCCUGAGAGGGCGGACGGACACACUGGGACUGAGACACGGCCCAGACUCCUACGGGAGGCAGCAGUGGGGAAUUGUUCGCAAUGGGCGCAAGCCUGACGACGCAACGCCGCGUGGAGGAUGAAGA
RNAcentral lists this ribosomal RNA (397 nucleotides) under uncultured bacterium. RNAcentral's name for it is "bacterial SSU rRNA". It matches the Rfam family "Bacterial small subunit ribosomal RNA", at positions 28 to 414 of the family's 1533-position model. The record is from RNAcentral.